Long non-coding RNA from Nyctereutes procyonoides (raccoon dog), 1020 nucleotides. RefSeq lists it as uncharacterized. The transcript has 5 exons. The record is from RefSeq and is a predicted model, not a curated record. NCBI's taxonomy places the organism in Eukaryota, Metazoa, Chordata, Mammalia, Carnivora, Canidae.
UGACAAGUGAGAGGGAGUAACAUAACCUGUUGCCCUUUGAUUUCCCUCCUACUGCUGCUUCCCUUGGUAAAAACAACAAAAACAAGGGAGUACGAUCUGUGCCAUGCACUUAGGGAGUCUUAAUGGAUUGGAGCAGAUGAUUCAAUGUACUUUCCAUUUUUGAGAUCCAAUAAAAUCUAUGAAACCGUAACUUUGUUUGAAAGAAAAUGUGAUCUCCUCUCCUGGAGUUACAAUAAGGAGAAAGAGACAAAUGAGGAAAAUGAACCAGUAUCAGAAACUGAUUUUUUAAAAAUAAAACUCCAGGGCAGUUCCUGGGUUAGUGGUGAUUCAGGAAACUCUUCUGUUUCAGCCCUCCACAGCGUGAAUUAGAGUUCGAAAUGAUGGUUGUGAAGAUCUGCAAGGUUCAUUCUAUUCAACAAGCACUUAGUGAGCUUCUCCAAGUGCAGAGUUCAAUUAAGGUCACGUACGCUACAGCAGCAGUUCACAAAGGGGAUAGUGCCACUGCCUGGUGGGCAUUUUGGAACUCUGUGGAGGGUUUCUUGGUUGUCCUCAUGAUUGGAGUGGACAGCCAGAUGUGGCAGAUGUUCUGUAGUCUGCAGGACAGUCCCACACAACAAGGAAUUGCCCUGAGUGCCAUAGAACUUUCCAUGUUCCACUGGACGUUCGUGUAGAUGAAAAGCCUGGUCUGAGCUAAAACAUAUUUCAUUUUACAUAUAAACACAAAAUAUCUGUGUUUGAGUAUAUUUUGCUUUUUCUUCAAUACCCACUGAAUUUUCCAACAAAGCAUCUUUUGUAAAAAUUAAGAGAAAUAUGUACUUGCUUUGUUCAGAAUUUCAUUAAAAGUUCUUCACAUCUUAGGGGUGCCUGAGUGGCUCAGUUGGUUGAGUGUCCAACUCUUGAUUUCAGGUCAGGUCAUGAUCUCAGGGUCUUGAUCUCAGGGUUGUGAGAUUGAGCCCCACGCCAGGCUCUGGAAUCAGCAGGGAGUCUGCUCAAGAUUCUCUCUCUACCUCUCCCUCUGCC